GAGGGUAUAGGUCAGUGGUAGACUGUGUGCUUAGUGCACCUGAGGUCCUGGGUUCCAUCCCCAGUACCUCCA
This 72-nucleotide transfer RNA is filed under the name Camelus bactrianus (Bactrian camel). It matches the Rfam family "tRNA". From Rfam's summary of the family: Transfer RNA (tRNA) molecules are approximately 80 nucleotides in length. Their secondary structure includes four short double-helical elements and three loops (D, anti-codon, and T loops). RNAcentral also lists the same sequence under 2 other names. The record is from Rfam by way of RNAcentral. Lineage: Eukaryota; Metazoa; Chordata; Mammalia; Artiodactyla; Camelidae.